Molecule: long non-coding RNA, 1921 nt
Organism: Cucumis sativus (cucumber)
Lineage: Eukaryota; Viridiplantae; Streptophyta; Magnoliopsida; Cucurbitales; Cucurbitaceae
Exons: 3
Source: RefSeq, a predicted model, not a curated record
AAGGGAAAGCACCAAUGGCACAUGAAAAGGCUGAGGUAUGUGUGAUAAAUUGCAGAGUAUGUGUAAAUUCAAUAUAAGUAGAACAUAAUGUAUGUGGUUUCUGUUUGGUAUCAAUUACACUGUAUUUGUGAAUAUUUGUUGUUUGUGACCCCAUCUAUUUUGAAAUAUAUUGAAUCUGUUUGUAGUGAAUUACAUUGUAUUUGUGUAUACUGGUUGCAACGUUAUAAGUUAUGGAGUGGGAUACUUUGAACUGUAGUUAACUUAUAAUUUUUGUUGCAUUGUUUUGUUUCACUGACUGAUAGUUUUGCAUUGCAUUGUUAUGUUUAAGUCUAACUUUUCUGGCUGGCUAGGUUAUUACGAUCUAAUUUUGUUGCAUCAUUCUUUCACCGGCUAACCAACAACAUGCAAAUUUUGUUGCAUUGCAUUGUUCCUUUUAAGUCUAACUUUUCUGGCUGACUAGGUUGCAUUGUUUUGAACUGAUUUGGCAUUGUUCUGUUUAAGUCUAACUAACAGCAUGUAAAUUUUGUUACUUUGCAUUUUUCUGUUUAAGUCUAACUUUUAUGGGUCAUUGGUUGACUGAGUUGUAAUGAACUAUACUUGGUUAUGUAUAUUAAGAUUUUUUUUUCUUUUUUAAUAUGAUUGGCCUUUUACAUAUAUAACUUAUUACAUAUUAAUAUUAGGACUCUGUAUACCUAAUGUGUUCUGAAAGGAGAAAUGAACCUCUAAAGAUUAAUCUCCAAACUAAGAGCACAAUAAUUGAUAAGAUAAAGGAGAACAUUGAAGGUACACUAGCUAAAAGAUUUAGGCAAGGAAUUUUUGGACAUUUCCUUGACUUCUCAAUCACAAUCUAAUCCAAUCAACUUCUGCUGCACCAUAUUCAAAGGAUAUGCAAACUAAAAUCAACAAGCCAACUUAAUUUUUUAAUAGGAGGGGGAGGGUGCUGAAAUUUGGGUUGAAAGAGUUUUCCCUAGUAACUAAACUAAACUGCCAUGGAGUACCAGAUAUUAAAGAGGAAGAUAUUAAGGAGCAUGGCCAUUUGAAGAGAGUGUACUUCGAGAGCCUGAAAACUGUUACCAAAUAGUACUUAAGUGUUAUGUUAAUGUAAGAACUACUAAAACCGAUAUGAUGAUUGCCUAAAGAUGGAAAAGUUGUAUUUUCUUGAGAGCUUUCUAAUCCCAAAAGAAGAGAGCCUAAAUAUAUAAUGGGAUCACACUCUAAUGGUUGAUGAUGAUGAGUUGUUUGACGGGUAUCCGUGGGAAAGGGUGGCAUUUGACCUUCUGGUGGAAUUUAUGAAUAGAGGUGUGUCUAGCAAGGGGCAGACUGGGAAUUCAAUGGGAGGGUUUAUUUUCUCAAUCCUGGCUUGCGAGUACGAGGUAAUCCCAAAGUUGAGUACCCCACCCAACUUCUUUGCAAGAAAGAUUUUGAAUCAAGUUUCUAGAAUCAUUACUUGAGCUGCAAAUACACAACCAAAGUGGAAGGACCUGAAGCAAAAGGUUUUUUAUUCACCCACGUGGGAAGGCCAUAUUUUGCACCCUUUCUUGAGGCUGAAAAAAGAAUACUACAAGAAGUCGAAGAUGAACUUAGAAAGAGCCAGCCAACUAACAGAGUUGCUCAAAUGUCAUUAAAUAGAGGCAUGCCCUCUAUAAGUCAGAUGGAUGGAUUGACCAAAAUUGUAGAAAAAUUUGAAAAAAGCCAAGAUAGAAUGGAAAAAAUAUGGGAGAGAUCUAUGAAUUUUUUAAGUAUGUAGAGAUGAAGAUGGAUAGAAAGGUUGAAGAGCUAGGAAACAAAUUGAACGACAUUAUUAAACAAAUGAAGAGUCAGGAAGUUAGUUCCUCUGUUGCACGAUAGACUAACGAGUAUAUGAGACUUUGAAGAGCACCUAGACAGAGUAGAGAAGAACAUAGAAGCAGAAGUAGAAAAA